This is a non-coding RNA of Salmo salar (Atlantic salmon), 54 nucleotides long. NCBI's taxonomy places the organism in Eukaryota, Metazoa, Chordata, Actinopteri, Salmoniformes, Salmonidae. The record is from Rfam.
AGAAUGACUGACUGUAAGUCACUUUGGAUGAGAGUGUCUGCUAAAUGACAAAUU